This 1126-nucleotide long non-coding RNA is filed under the name Coturnix japonica (Japanese quail). RNAcentral describes it as "lncRNA (ENSCJPG00005017864.1)". The record is from RNAcentral. Lineage: Eukaryota; Metazoa; Chordata; Aves; Galliformes; Phasianidae.
GGGGGGGGACACACACAAAGCCAUUGGGAUGAGUGGGGGGGCACAGCACCAUAACCGCCCCCCCCCCAUAUCACAGCACCCCAUAGGGAUGGAGACAAUGGGGAACCCCAUAAGGACAGCCCCAAUGGGGGGACACAAAUGGGACCCCCCCCCAGGAGAAGCACAUUGUGCCAUAGAGACACUCAAAUGAUGCCCCCCCCACCCCAUGGCCAUAAGGGACCCUUUAUCCGCCCCCACCUCCCCCCCCCAACUGACGUCACUGUGCCCUAUAGCGUGGUUGUGGGGUGGGGGGGGGUCGUGGUGCCCCACAAUGGGCCCUUUGUGGAGGGCGGGGGUGGGGGGCACCGUGGGGCAGCGCUGUGGGGUGGAGCUGCCAUGGCCCCAAAUGGACCCUGGGGUGGGGGUGGGCAGAAACAGGCAGCUCCCAGUGCCACCAUACCAGUAUAGCCCAGUAUAUCCCAGUAUGUCCCAGUAUAUCCCAGUGCCACCAUCCCAGUGUAUCCCAGUAUGUCCCAGUAUAUCCCAGUGCCACCAUCCCAGUGUAUCCCAGUAUGUCCCAGUAUGUCCCAUUCCAUCCCAUAUAUCCCAUAUAUCUCAUAUAUCCCAGUAUGUCCCAGAGCCACCAUCCCAGUAUAUCCCAGUAUGUCCCAGUAUAUCCCAGUAUAUCCCAGUAUAUCCCAGUAUGUCCCAGUAUGUCCCAUUCCAUCCCAUAUAUCCCAUAUAUCUCAUAUACCCCAGUAUAUCCCAGUGCCUCCAUCCCAGUAUAUCCCAGUAUAUCCCAUUCCAUCCCAUAUAUCCCAUAUAUCUCAUAUACCCCAGUAUAUCCCAGUGCCUCCAUCCCAGUAUAUCCCAGUAUAUCCCAGUAUAUCCCAGUAUAUCCCAGUAUAUCCCAGUAUAUCCCAUUAUAUCCCAGUAUAUCCCAGUAUAUCCCAGUGCCUCCAUCCCAGUAUAUCCCAGUAUAUCCCAGUCCACCCCAGUGCAUCCCAGUGCCACUAUCCCAGUAUAUCCCAGUAUAUCCCAGCCCAUCCCAGUGUAUCCCAUUGCCACCACCCCAGUGUAUCCCAGUGUAUCCCAGUACCACUCUCCCAGUAUAUCCUAUUGCCACCACCCCAGUAUAUCCCAGUAU